GCAAGAGCUCAAAUUUGAAAUCCGGCCCCCCUGGGGGCCUGAGUUGUAAUUUGCAGAGGAUGCUUCGGGCGCGACCGCGGUCCAAGUCCCCUGGAACGGGGCGUCGUAGAGGGUGAGAAUCCCGUCUCCGGCCGGCCGGUCUCGCCCGUGUGAAGCUCCUUCGACGAGUCGAGUUGUUUGGGAAUGCAGCUCCAAAUGGGUGGUAAAUUUCAUCUAAAGCUAAAUACUGGUCGGAGACCGAUAGCGCACAAGUAGAGUGAUCGAAAGAUGAAAAGCACUUUGAAAAGAGAGUUAAACAGCAUGUGAAAUUGUUGAAAGGGAAGCGCUUGCGACCAGAGUCGGCCGCGGGGGUUCAGCGGGCAUUCGUUGCCCGUGCAAUCCCCCGCGGCCGGGCCAGCGUCGGUUUCGACGGCCGGUCAAAGGCCCCCGGAAUGUGUCGCCUCUCGGGGCGUCUUAUAGCCGGGGGUGCAAUGCGGCCAGUCGGGACCGAGGAACGCGCUCC
RNAcentral lists this ribosomal RNA (502 nucleotides) under Histoplasma capsulatum. RNAcentral describes it as "eukaryotic LSU rRNA". It matches the Rfam family "Eukaryotic large subunit ribosomal RNA", at positions 101 to 603 of the family's 3401-position model. Lineage: Eukaryota; Fungi; Ascomycota; Eurotiomycetes; Onygenales; Ajellomycetaceae. The record is from RNAcentral.